CUGAGUGGUGCCAAAUGGUUAAGGCAUUUGGCUGCUAACUGAAAGGCUGGAGGUUUGAGUCCACCCACAGA
Molecule: transfer RNA, 71 nt
Filed under: Loxodonta africana (African savanna elephant)
Lineage: Eukaryota; Metazoa; Chordata; Mammalia; Proboscidea; Elephantidae
Rfam family: tRNA
About the family: Transfer RNA (tRNA) molecules are approximately 80 nucleotides in length. Their secondary structure includes four short double-helical elements and three loops (D, anti-codon, and T loops).
Source: Rfam by way of RNAcentral